AUGGUGAGGAGGAGCCCUGCUUUUCCAACAGAAACACACACACGAAUCACUAGCAGAGAAGACGCAGCCAUGGGAUUCUGCAGUGGCUCUUCAGAUGUACAGGUGCUCCCAAACAACACAUCAUCGUCGUCGCCGUCUUCUUGGUCAGCGGCUGCUAAAGAUUCCGGCCACAGUGGCAAGAACAAGAAGCAGCACGUUGUAAAGAAGGAGGAGAGGAAGGAGAAGAAAAGGAGCAACCUUGACCGGGCUGCGCUCACGACGCCCCACUUCCCCUUUCAUUCUCGCCCCGGUCUUCUGUAAUAGAUCAACGGAGAACAAUAGUGCACACGUACGAUCCUGUAGGUUUUCCUAUUAGCCUAUGAUUUAUUCAUUGAUGGUUGGUUGUAUUUGAUUAUUAUCGGAAUUACAAUUGUUUCUUUUUAACAUACAGAGAGAUUAUGUUCAUUGUUAUUG
This 453-nucleotide ribosomal RNA is filed under the name Triticum aestivum (bread wheat). Its description in RNAcentral is "partial small subunit ribosomal RNA". The record is from RNAcentral. Lineage: Eukaryota; Viridiplantae; Streptophyta; Magnoliopsida; Poales; Poaceae.